This 497-nucleotide ribosomal RNA is filed under the name uncultured bacterium. RNAcentral describes it as "bacterial SSU rRNA". It matches the Rfam family "Bacterial small subunit ribosomal RNA", at positions 41 to 518 of the family's 1533-position model. The record is from RNAcentral.
AGCGUGGAUUAGGCAUGCAAGUCGAACGGGAGUCCGGAAGGUAGCAAUAUCGGCCGGUGAGAGUGGCGGAAGGGCGAGGAACACGUGGGCAACCUGUCUCUGAGGUGGGGAAAACCGUUGGAAACGACGGCUAAUACCGAAUGUAGCGCCCGCUCGCAUGAGCGGAGCGCCAAAGGGGGCGAAAGCUCCCCCUCUCCGAGGGGCCCGCGCACCAUCAGCUUGUUGGCGGGUAACGGCCCACCAAGGCUCACGGUUAGCUGGUCUGAGAGGAUGGCCAGCCGCACUGGGACUGAGAUACUGCCCAGACUCCUACGGGAGGCUGCAGUCGAGGAUCAUUUGCAAUGGGCGAAAGCCUGACAAUGCGACGCUGCGUGGAAGGAUGAAGGCCCUCGGGUUGUAAACUCCUGUCAUGGGGGAAAAGGAAACCCUGCCCAAUACGCAGGGAAUUUGAUGGUACCCCAAGAGGAAGCGACGGCUAACUCUGUGCCAGCCGCAGC